Molecule: ribosomal RNA, 434 nt
Filed under: uncultured soil bacterium
Lineage: Bacteria
Description: bacterial SSU rRNA
Rfam family: Bacterial small subunit ribosomal RNA
Source: RNAcentral
AGGACGAACGCUGGCGGCGUGCUUAAAACAUGCAAGUCGAACGGAGACCAUGGAGUCGCAAGACUCCGGAAGUCUGAGUGGCGAACGGGUGCGUAACACGUGAGGAACCUGCCCCAGAGACCGGGAUAACCCCUCGAAAGAGGAGCUAAUACCGGAUGUGCUCAUCGGAUCACCUGGUCUGGUGAGGAAAUGGAUUCCGCUCUGGGAUGGCCUCGCGGCCUAUCAGCUUGUUGGUGGGGUAACGCCUACCAAGGCGACGACGGUAGCUGGUCUGAGAGGACGAUCAGCCACACUGGGACUGAGACACGGCCCAGACUCCGUACGGGACGCAGCAGUUAGGAAUUCUAGCGACAAGUGGGACGUAAACGCCUAGGACGCAGCCGAACGCCGGCGGUGGGGGAUGAAUGCGUCGUCGGUUACGUAAACCCUUUCGA